RNAcentral lists this small RNA (191 nucleotides) under Mytilus galloprovincialis (Mediterranean mussel). The record is from RNAcentral. Lineage: Eukaryota; Metazoa; Mollusca; Bivalvia; Mytilida; Mytilidae.
UGCAAGUUUGCCACAAGUUUGCAACAAACAAUUGCUGCAAGCUUGCGGCAAAUCUUAUUUGCAUAAUUAUGUUUGCAGCAAGCUUGCCGCAAACUUCAUUUGCAUGGUAAAAUGGUUGCGGCAAGUUUGCAGCAAAUGAUUGCUGCAGGCUUGCGGCAAUGUUUGCUGCAAACUUGCGGCAAAUGUUUGUC